UACGUAGGGACCAAGCGUUGUCCGGAAUCAUUGGGCGUAAAGAGCGUGUAGGCGGCUUGUUAAGUCUUGCGUGAAAUCUCGGGGCUCAACCCCGAGCGGUCGUGAGAAACUGGCAGGCUAGAGUGCGGGAGAGGAGAGUGGAAUUCCUGGUGUAGCGGUGAAAUGCGCAGAUAUCAGGAGGAACACCUGUGGUGUAGACAGCUUACUGGACCAUUUCUGACGCUGAGACACGAAAGCGUGGGUAGCAAACAGG
Molecule: ribosomal RNA, 253 nt
Filed under: uncultured bacterium
Lineage: Bacteria
Description: partial 16S ribosomal RNA
Rfam family: Bacterial small subunit ribosomal RNA
Source: RNAcentral